Molecule: ribosomal RNA, 555 nt
Filed under: Triticum aestivum (bread wheat)
Lineage: Eukaryota; Viridiplantae; Streptophyta; Magnoliopsida; Poales; Poaceae
Description: partial small subunit ribosomal RNA
Source: RNAcentral
AUGGCCGAAUGCUUCAAUAGGGUGCUCAAAGGUGCACGUGGAUUACCCGUGACAGCAAUAGUUCAAUACACAUUUGACAAGAUGAAUGCGUACUUUGUAAAGUACUCGAUGGAAACCGAUGCACAGAUAGCGGGUGAGAACCCACGGAAGUACAAGUACAAGUUCCCACCCAAAGUUGAUGAAUGGUUGGUAUUUCAAUCACGGAAGGCGGACUCAGAAGAAGCUAUAUUAUAUGACAACGAAGAGUGGAAGUACGAAGUGUAAGAGCCAGGAGGAACCACAAACGAUGGCCGGCAACAUGGAGGUUGGGCUUUCAAGGUGUCGUUAACACAAUGUGAUUGCACUUGCGGGAAACCAUUGUUGCUUCAUCUCCCGUGCUCACAUUUGUAUGCCGCCGGUCGCGUUAGGAAUGUGGACAUCAAUCACCCACGCACCGUGAGGGAGUCGGAGUUCUCAAUCAUGACGGUCAAGAAAACAUGGGCUCCCCGCUUUCACCCAUACUUUGACCAAUCACAAUGGCCGGAGUAUCAUGGAGUUCAACUAUGGCCGGAUCCG